GCAGCCGCGGUAAUACGGAGGAUGCGAGCGUUAUCCGGAUUUAUUGGGUUUAAAGGGAGCGUAGGCGGGUUAUUAAGUCAGUCGUCAAAGCCUGCGGCUCAACCGCAGCCCGCGAUUGAUACUGGUAACCUUGAGUGCGGAUGAGGUGGAUGGAAUUCGUGGUGUAGCGGUGAAAUGCUUAGAUAUCACGAAGAACUCCGAUUGCGAAGGCAGUUCACUGGGCCGCAACUGACGCUGAAGCUCGAAAGUGUGGGAAUCAAACAGGAUUAGAUACCCC
Molecule: ribosomal RNA, 277 nt
Filed under: uncultured bacterium
Lineage: Bacteria
Description: partial 16S ribosomal RNA
Rfam family: Bacterial small subunit ribosomal RNA
Source: RNAcentral